RNAcentral lists this ribosomal RNA (398 nucleotides) under uncultured microorganism. RNAcentral's name for it is "bacterial SSU rRNA". It matches the Rfam family "Archaeal small subunit ribosomal RNA", at positions 330 to 735 of the family's 1478-position model. The record is from RNAcentral.
GCGCAGCAGGCGAGAAACUUUACAAUGUGCGAAAGCACGAUAAGGGAACUCUGAGUGCCUCCUAAGGAGGCUGUUCAGGUGUCUAAAAGCACCUGAAGGAAGGGCCGGGUAAGACCGGUGCCAGCCGCCGCGGUAACACCGGCAGCCCAAGUGGUAGCCACGUUUAUUGGGUCUAAAGCGUCCGUAGCCGGCUGGGUAAGUUCCUUGGGAAAUUUGGCUGCUUAACAGUCAAGCUUUCAGGGAAUACUGCCCGGCUUGGGACCGGGAGAGGUCAGAGGUACUCCAGGGGUAGGGGUGAAAUCCAUUAAUCCUUGGGGGACCACCGGUAGCGAAGGCGUCUGACCAGACCGGGUCCGACGGUGAGGGACGAAGGCUAGGGGCGCGAACCGGAUUAGAUA